GUACUCACUUUGGCAGCACAUAUACUAAAAGUGGAAUGAUACAGAGAAGAUUAGCAUGGCCCCCUUGUAAGGAUGCCUUGCAAAUUCAUGAAACUUUCCACAUUUUU
Molecule: small nuclear RNA, 107 nt
Filed under: Tupaia belangeri (northern tree shrew)
Lineage: Eukaryota; Metazoa; Chordata; Mammalia; Scandentia; Tupaiidae
Source: RNAcentral